This 503-nucleotide ribosomal RNA is filed under the name uncultured bacterium. Its description in RNAcentral is "partial 16S ribosomal RNA". It matches the Rfam family "Bacterial small subunit ribosomal RNA", at positions 30 to 523 of the family's 1533-position model. The record is from RNAcentral.
AUUGAACGCUGGCGGCAGGCUUAACACAUGCAAGUCGAGCGGGGUGAUGGUGCUUGCACUAUCACUUAGCGGCGGACGGGUGAGUAAUGCUUAGGAAUCUGCCUAUUAGUGGGGGACAACAUCUCGAAAGGGAUGCUAAUACCGCAUACGUCCUACGGGAGAAAGCAGGGGAUCACUUGUGACCUUGCGCUAAUAGAUGAGCCUAAGUCGGAUUAGCUAGUUGGUGGGGUAAAGGCCUACCAAGGCGACGAUCUGUAGCGGGUCUGAGAGGAGGAUCCGCCACACUGGGACUGAGACACGGCCCCGACUCCUACGGGAGGCAGACGUGGGGAAUAUUGGACAAUGGGGGGAACCCUGAUCCAGCCAUGCCGCGUGUGUGAAGAAGGCCUUAUGGUUGUAAAGCACUUUAAGCGAGGAGGAGGCUCUUUUGGCUAAUACCCAAGAUGAGUGGACGUUACUCGCAGAAUAAGCACCGGCUAACUCUGUGCCAGCAGCCGCGGUAA